UCCCUGAUAGCUCAGUUAGUAGAGAAUCUGCCUGCGAUGCAGAAAACCCUGGUUCAAUCCCUGGGUUGGGAA
RNAcentral lists this transfer RNA (72 nucleotides) under Bos taurus (domestic cattle). It matches the Rfam family "tRNA". Rfam says of the family: Transfer RNA (tRNA) molecules are approximately 80 nucleotides in length. Their secondary structure includes four short double-helical elements and three loops (D, anti-codon, and T loops). Further hydrogen bonds mediate the characteristic L-shaped molecular structure. tRNAs have two regions of fundamental functional importance: the anti-codon, which is responsible for specific mRNA codon recognition, and the 3' end, to which the tRNAs corresponding amino acid is attached (by aminoacyl-tRNA synthetases). tRNAs cope with the degeneracy of the genetic code in two manners: having more than one tRNA (with a specific anti-codon) for a particular amino acid; and 'wobble' base-pairing, i.e. permitting non-standard base-pairing at the 3rd anti-codon position. Lineage: Eukaryota; Metazoa; Chordata; Mammalia; Artiodactyla; Bovidae. RNAcentral also lists the same sequence under 2 other names. The record is from Rfam by way of RNAcentral.